This 400-nucleotide ribosomal RNA is filed under the name uncultured Klebsiella sp. RNAcentral describes it as "bacterial SSU rRNA". It matches the Rfam family "Bacterial small subunit ribosomal RNA", at positions 968 to 1368 of the family's 1533-position model. Lineage: Bacteria; Pseudomonadati; Pseudomonadota; Gammaproteobacteria; Enterobacterales; Enterobacteriaceae. The record is from RNAcentral.
ACCUUACCUGGUCUUGACAUCCACAGAACUUACCAGAGAUGCUUUGGUGCCUUCGGGAACUGUGAGACAGGUGCUGCAUGGCUGUCGUCAGCUCGUGUUGUGAAAUGUUGGGUUAAGUCCCGCAACGAGCGCAACCCUUAUCCUUUGUUGCCAGCGGUUAGGCCGGGAACUCAAAGGAGACUGCCAGUGAUAAACUGGAGGAAGGUGGGGAUGACGUCAAGUCAUCAUGGCCCUUACGACCAGGGCUACACACGUGCUACAAUGGCAUAUACAAAGAGAAGCGACCUCGCGAGAGCAAGCGGACCUCAUAAAGUAUGUCGUAGUCCGGAUUGGAGUCUGCAACUCGACUCCAUGAAGUCGGAAUCGCUAGUAAUCGUAGAUCAGAAUGCUACGGUGAAUA